GACGAACGCUGGCGGCGUGCCUAAUACAUGCAAGUAGAACGCUGAAGGAGGAGCUUGCUCUUCUGGACGAGUUGCGAACGGGUGAGUAACGCGUAGGUAACCUGCCUGGUAGCGGGGGAUAACUAUUGGAAACGAUAGCUAAUACCGCAUAACAGUAGAUGUUGCAUGACAUUUGCUUAAAAGGUGCAAUUGCACCACUACCAGAUGGACCUGCGUUGUAUUAGCUAGUUGGUGGGGUAACGGCUCACCAAGGCGACGAUACAUAGCCGACCUGAGAGGGUGAUCGGCCACACUGGGACUGAGACACGGCCCAGACUCCUACGGGAGGCAGCAGUAGGGAAUCUUCGGCAAUGGACGGAAGUCUGACCGAGCAACGCCGCGUGAGUGAAGAAGGUUUUCGGAUCGUAAAGCUCUGUUGUAAGAGAAGAACGAGUGUGAGAGUGGAAAGUUCACACUGUGACGGUAGCUUACCAGAAAGGGACGGCUAACUACGUG
This 495-nucleotide ribosomal RNA is filed under the name uncultured bacterium. Its description in RNAcentral is "partial 16S ribosomal RNA". It matches the Rfam family "Bacterial small subunit ribosomal RNA", at positions 28 to 507 of the family's 1533-position model. The record is from RNAcentral.